GCUCAGGAUGAACGCUGGCGGCGUGCUUAACACAUGCAAGUCGAACGAUGAAGACCGUGCUUGCACGGUUGGAUUAGUGGCGAACGGGUGAGUAUCACGUGAGUAACCUUCCCUUGACUCUGGGAUAAGCCCGGGAAACUGGGUCUAAUACCGGAUACGACCAGUCCUCGCAUGGGGUGCUGGUGGAAAGAUUUAUCGGUCUUGGAUGGACUCGCGGCCUAUCAGCUUGUUGGUGAGGUAAUGGCUCACCAAGGCGAUGACGGGUAGCCGGCCUGAGAGGGUGACCGGCCACACUGGGACUGAGACACGGCCCAGACUCCUACGGGAGGCAGCAGUGGGGAAUAUUGCACAAUGGGCGAAAGCCUGAUGCAGCGACGCCGCGUGCGGGAUGACGGCCUUCGGGUUGUAAACCGCUUUCAGCAGGGAAGAAGCGAAAG
Molecule: ribosomal RNA, 437 nt
Filed under: Nesterenkonia lutea
Lineage: Bacteria; Bacillati; Actinomycetota; Actinomycetes; Micrococcales; Micrococcaceae
Description: bacterial SSU rRNA
Rfam family: Bacterial small subunit ribosomal RNA
Source: RNAcentral